Non-coding RNA from Piliocolobus tephrosceles (Ugandan red Colobus), 126 nucleotides. NCBI's taxonomy places the organism in Eukaryota, Metazoa, Chordata, Mammalia, Primates, Cercopithecidae. The record is from Ensembl.
UGAAAGUUGUUUCUUGACCAGUUGCCUACAGCUGAUGAGCUCCAGUAAGAGCGAAACCAGUUCUCACCCACUGAAAUGAUUUCGAAGUGUGAAUUGGUCCUGUAGUACUGUGAUCAGAAACAGAAA